CCUAAGAGAUACGUGUUAUGUGAAGUGCUCACACAGAUUGUCUGAUGAAGAACGAGCAGAGAUACCGGUAUAGGCUUGUAGCUCAGGUGGUUAGAGCGCACCCCUGAUAAGGGUGAGGUCGGUGGUUCAAGUCCACUCAGGCCUACCACUUUUCCUUUAUGCUGUGUUGUGAAGCAACUCGUUUACAUUAAGUAAACUUCGUUACUCCACGCCUUGCCUAAAGAAAAAGCUUCUUAUUAUAAGAAGAAAAAGGAGUGGUUAUACGGGUAUUAAAACAUUAUGGGGCUAUAGCUCAGCUGGGAGAGCGCCUGCCUUGCACGCAGGAGGUCAGCGGUUCGAUCCCGCUUAGCUCCACCAUAAUCUCUUGAAUAUAAAACAAUGAUUCAGAGUAUAUUAGGAAUAGUAUACUGCGAAUUAUUAUGCUCUUUAACAAUCUGGAACAAGCUGAAAAAUUGAAAACAAAUCAAUAUAUCAACGAGGUAUAUUGGUGAGUCUCUCAAAAUCUCAAACCUUAAAGUUUGUCACGCAAAGUUUAUCUUUGAAAAAGACACUUUCGGGUUGUGA
Molecule: unclassified non-coding RNA, 564 nt
Filed under: Proteus mirabilis
Lineage: Bacteria; Pseudomonadati; Pseudomonadota; Gammaproteobacteria; Enterobacterales; Morganellaceae
Description: partial 16S-23S ribosomal RNA intergenic spacer
Rfam family: tRNA (bases 282-354)
Source: RNAcentral